AACGCACCUUGCGCCCUUUGGUAUUCCGAAGGGCAUGCCUGUUUGAGUGUCAUGAAACCUCACCCCACCUGGGAUUUUGCCCGGAUGGCGGUGGAUUGGGUGUUGCCUUUACCGGCUCGCCUCAAAAGCAUAAGCGCCUUGGAUGUAAUACGUUUCAUCCUCUUGGGUGGCUUACAACCCCACAUAUCUCAUGAUCUGGCCUCAAAUCAGGUAGGGCUACCCGCUGAACUUAA
Molecule: unclassified non-coding RNA, 233 nt
Filed under: uncultured Tremellales
Lineage: Eukaryota; Fungi; Basidiomycota; Tremellomycetes; Tremellales
Description: sequence contains 5.8S rRNA gene, ITS2, 28S rRNA gene
Rfam family: 5.8S ribosomal RNA (bases 1-52)
Source: RNAcentral